RNAcentral lists this ribosomal RNA (549 nucleotides) under uncultured Glomus. RNAcentral describes it as "SSU rRNA". It matches the Rfam family "Eukaryotic small subunit ribosomal RNA", at positions 548 to 1098 of the family's 1831-position model. The record is from RNAcentral. Lineage: Eukaryota; Fungi; Glomeromycota; Glomeromycetes; Glomerales; Glomeraceae.
UUGGAGGGCAAGUCUGGUGCCAGCAGCCGCGGUAAUUCCAGCUCCAAUAGCGUAUAUUAAAGUUGUUGCAGUUAAAAAGCUCGUAGUUGAAUUUCGGGGUUAGUAGGUUGGUCAUGCCUCUGGUAUGUACUGGUCUCACUGAUUCCUCCUUCCUUAUGAACCGUAAUGCCAUUAAUUUGGUGUUGCGGGGAAUUUGGACUGUUACUUUGAAAAAAUUAGAGUGUUUAAAGCAAGCUAACGCUUGAAUACAUUAGCAUGGAAUAAUGAAAUAGGACGUUCGAUCUUAUUUUGUUGGUUUCUAGGAUUGACGUAAUGAUUAAUAGGGAUAGUUGGGGGCAUUAGUAUUCAAUUGUCAGAGGUGAAAUUCUUGGAUUUAUUGAAGACUAACUACUGCGAAAGCAUUUGCCAGGGAUGUUUUCAUUAAUCAAGAACGAAAGUUAGGGGAUCGAAGACGAUCAGAUACCGUCGUAGUCUUAACCAUAAACUAUGCCGACUAGGGAUCGGAUGAUGUUAAUUUUUUAAUGACUCAUUCGGCGCCUUACGGGAAAC